GAGAUAGUAUUUGGACUCAAAACUAUACUCUGGCUGAAAUCACUGGAAUCUUAUAUAAAAUAGUCUGCCGGAAUCCGGAAACGGGAACGGACGGAUAU
Ruminococcus sp. CAG:17 is the source of this 98-nucleotide non-coding RNA. Lineage: Bacteria; Bacillati; Bacillota; Clostridia; Eubacteriales; Oscillospiraceae. The record is from Rfam.